This 883-nucleotide ribosomal RNA is filed under the name uncultured archaeon. RNAcentral's name for it is "bacterial SSU rRNA". It matches the Rfam family "Archaeal small subunit ribosomal RNA", at positions 30 to 922 of the family's 1478-position model. The record is from RNAcentral.
CCCUUGGGAUGACUAGCAUGCGAGUCAUUGUAGCAAUACAAGGCAGACGGCUCGGUAACGCGUAGUCAAUCUACCCUAUGGACGGGAAUAACCUCGGGAAACUGAGAAUAAUGCCCGAUAGAACAUUAUACCUGGAACGGUUUAUGUUUCAAAUGAUUUAUCGCCGUAGGAUGGGACUGCGGCCUAUCAGUUUGUUGGUGAGGUAAUGGCCCACCAAGACUAUUACAGGUACGGGCUCUGAGAGGAGUAGCCCGGAGAUGGGUACUGAGACACGGACCCAGGCCCUAUGGGGCGCAGCAGGCGAGAAAACUUUGCAAUGUGCGAAAGCACGACAAGGUUAAUCCGAGUGGUUUCUGCUAAAGAAACCUUUUGCUAGUCCUAGAAACACUAGUGAAUAAGGGGUGGGCAAGUUCUGGUGUCAGCCGCCGCGGUAAAACCAGCACCUCAAGUGGUCAGGAUGAUUAUUGGGCCUAAAGCAUCCGUAGCCGGCUCUGUAAGUUUUCGGUUAAAUCUGUACGCUCAACGUACAGGCUGCCGGGAAUACUGCAGAGCUAGGGAGUGGGAGAGGUAGACGGUACUCGGUAGGAAGGGGUAAAAUCCUUUGAUCUAUUGAUGACCACCUGUGGCGAAGGCGGUCUACCAGAACACGUCCGACGGUGAGGGAUGAAAGCUGGGGGAGCAAACCGGAUUAGAUACCCGGGUAGUCCCAGCUGUAAACUAUGCAAACUCAGUGAUGCAUUGGCUUGUGGCCAAUGCAGUGCUGCAGGGAAGCCGUUAAGUUUGCCGCCUGGGGAAGUACGUACGCAAGUAUGAAACUUAAAGGAAUUGGCGGGGGAGCACCACAAGGGGUGAAGCCUGCGGUUCAAUUGGAGUCAACGCCGGG